Molecule: ribosomal RNA, 253 nt
Filed under: uncultured bacterium
Lineage: Bacteria
Description: partial 16S ribosomal RNA
Rfam family: Bacterial small subunit ribosomal RNA
Source: RNAcentral
UACGGAGGGUGCAAGCGUUAUCCGGAUUCACUGGGUUUAAAGGGUGCGUAGGCGGGUUGGUAAGUCCGUGGUGAAAUCUCCAAGCUUAACUUGGAAACUGCCGUGGAUACUAUCAAUCUUGAAUGUCGUGGAGGUAAGCGGAAUAUGUCAUGUAGCGGUGAAAUGCUUAGAGAUGACAUAGAACACCAAUUGCGUAGGCAACUUACUACACGAAUAUUGACGCUGAGGCACGAAAGCGUGGGGAGCAAACAGG